Sebastes umbrosus (honeycomb rockfish) is the source of this 659-nucleotide long non-coding RNA. RefSeq lists it as uncharacterized. The transcript has 2 exons. Lineage: Eukaryota; Metazoa; Chordata; Actinopteri; Perciformes; Sebastidae. The record is from RefSeq and is a predicted model, not a curated record.
UUGAAUUUAUUUGCUGAGGUUUCCAUAUGUAUUUGCUUAACAUUAUAUUAUUAUAUAGACAGAGUAAAAUUCCUCUUUUAAUUGGGUUGGAGUACCAUAUGUGGCCGCCUAGGCAGAGGGGCCGUGAAAGAAUUUUCCUGUCUAGAUUGUUUGAGGGACACUUCAGGAAAGAUAGCUGCCAGACAGGUUUUUCACUUUCACACUCUAUUAAAUAUUGCUGUAUUGUUAAGAUUAUGUUGGAGGAAUUAUCAUUUUUGACACCAUUGUACACAUGUUUGUUCAUAUUCGGUUUAUCGGGACUUUAACUAGUCCCGAAGGGGGGAAUAUGAGGUGUCUGCUGUUAGAUGCAGCAUAUUUAUAUAGAUGGUUUGUAUUAGGAGAGUAUAUUGGAAUGUUACUAAGUCAGCAGGGUCCUGGGAGGCCCGGGUCAGAGUUGAAGAGACAUAUGGCGGCAAAAGAGAGGUGUUUCUAUUUUUAUUUGUCCCUCUCCUAAAACCAUAUGAGGAAACUAAGGGUUUGACCAGAACAAGCUCGGUAUUUAAGGAGCUGUCUGUAUACGUUCGGGAGAGUUCUCUCAUUAUUCGGCUGGAGGCUCUCCAAGUAACUUGUUACUUGUUUACGAUACUGAACUUAUUGUAAUAAAUUUGUUAUACAACUAA